UCUCCGUAGGUGAACCUGCGGAGGGAUCAUUACAAGAACGCCCGGGCUUCGGCCUGGUUAUUCAUAACCCUUUGUUGUCCGACUCUGUUGCCUCCGGGGCGACCCUGCCUUCGGGCGGGGGCUCCGGGUGGACACUUCAAACUCUUGCGUAACUUUGCAGUCUGAGUAAACUUAAUUAAUAAAUUAAAACUUUUAACAACGGAUCUCUUGGUUCUGGCAUCGAUGAAGAACGCAGCGAAAUGCGAUAAGUAAUGUGAAUUGCAGAAUUCAGUGAAUCAUCGAAUCUUUGAACGCACAUUGCGCCCCCUGGUAUUCCGGGGGGCAUGCCUGUUCGAGCGUCAUUUCACCACUCAAGCCUCGUUUGGUAUUGGGCAACGCGGUCCGCCGCGUGCCUCAAAUCGUCCGGCUGGGUCUUCUGUCCCCUAAGCGUUGUGGAAACUAUUCGCUAAAGGGUGUUCGGGAGGCUACGCCGUAAAACAACCCCAUUUCUAAGGUUGACCUCGGAUCAGGUAGGGAUACCCGCUGAACUUAAGCAUAUCA
This 540-nucleotide ribosomal RNA is filed under the name uncultured fungus. RNAcentral describes it as "eukaryotic LSU rRNA". The stretch from base 188 to 341 matches the Rfam family "5.8S ribosomal RNA". The record is from RNAcentral. Lineage: Eukaryota; Fungi.